Molecule: ribosomal RNA, 449 nt
Filed under: uncultured bacterium
Lineage: Bacteria
Description: partial 16S ribosomal RNA
Rfam family: Bacterial small subunit ribosomal RNA
Source: RNAcentral
CCUACGUGCGGCAGCAGUGAGGAAUAUUGCGCAAUGGGGGAAACCCUGACGCAGCAACGCCGCGUGAGUGAGGAAGGUUUUCGGACCGUAAAGCUCUGUCGAGCGGGAAGAAGUGCAUGGUGGCUAAUAUCCAUUAUGCUUGACGGUACCGCUAAAGGAAGCACCGGCUAACUCCGUGCCAGCAGCCGCGGUAAUACGGGGGGUGCUAGCGUUGUUCGGAAUCAUUGGGCGGCUGGAGAAGUUAGAUGGCAAAGCCCUGGGCUUAACCUAGGAAGUGCAUUUGAAACUGUUCAGCUUGAGUAAGGGAGAGGAAAGUGGAAUUCCUGGUGUAGAGGUGAAAUUCGUAGAUAUCAGGAGGAACACCGGUGGCGAAGGCGACUUUCUGGCCCUAUACUGACGCUGAGACGCGAGAGCGUGGGUAGCAAACAGGAUUAGAUACCCGAGUAGUC